GAAUUCGCCCUUAGAGUUUGAUCCUGGCUCAGGACGAACGCUGGCGGCGUGCUUAACACAUGCAAGUCGAACGAGAAUCACCGGAAAGAGGAUUCGUCCAAUGGAAGGUGAGGAAAGUGGCGGACGGGUGAGUAACGCGUGAGGAACCUGCCUUGGAGAGGGGGACAACAGCUGGAAACGGCUGCUAAUACCGCAUAACAUAUCUGAAUCGCAUGGUUUGGAUAUCAAAGAUUUAUCGCUCUGAGAUGGCCUCGCGUCUGAUUAGCUGGUUGGCGGGGUAACGGCCCACCAAGGCGACGAUCAGUAGCCGGACUGAGAGGUUGAACGGCCACAUUGGGACUGAGAUACGGCCCACACUCCUACGGGAGGCAGCAGUGGGGAAUAUUGGGCAAUGGGCGCAAGCCUGACCCAGCAACGCCGCGUGAAGGAAGAAGGCUUUCGGGUUGUAAACUUCUUUUAAGGGGGAAGAGGAGAAGACGGUACCCCUAGAAUAAGCCACGGCUAACUACGUGCCAGCAGCCGCGGUAAUACGUAGGUGGCAAGCGUUGUCCGGAUUUACUGGGUGUAAAGGGCGUGUAGCCGGGUCUGCAAGUCAGAUGUGAAAUCCAUGGGCUUAACCCAUGAACUGCAUUUUGAACUGUGGAUCUUGAGUGCUGGACGGGCAAUCGGAAUUCCUAGUGUAGCGGUGAAAUGCGUAAAUAUUAGGAGGAACACCAGUGGCGAAGGCGGAUUGCUGAACAGUAACUGACGGGGAGGCGCGAAAGUGGGGGGAACAAACAGGAUUAAAUACCCUGGUACUCCCCACCUGAAAAAAAUAAAAACUAGGGGGUGCGGGGGACUGACCCCC
Molecule: ribosomal RNA, 847 nt
Filed under: uncultured bacterium
Lineage: Bacteria
Description: bacterial SSU rRNA
Rfam family: Bacterial small subunit ribosomal RNA
Source: RNAcentral